GGAGUGCUCACCAGCCUUCCUGAGUGCAAGACCAAAAUAUCAUAUCAAAACCAGUUAGGUUCCUAUACAAUCAAGAAGCAUAACUUUUGAAAAGCUUCCAUUUACAAGCGCAACAUAAGGUAUAAGAUACCCUUAGAGUGGCGGGGGGGGGGCAGGUAACACACCCUUACCUCUCCCUCACACCUGGGCUUGGAAACAGUUGAAAGGUGGACAAAGUCAGAAAGAGGGACGUCAACACAUAAGUAGAGACUGAAAGGAAGCGAGGGGUUGAGACUUGGUAGUGUCUAGGGAAAGAGAUCCCAAGUAGAGGGGACAGAGAGUGCCAAGAGUCCUAGGUAGGAGCAUGUGUGGUGAGCUGGGCAAUAGUCAGGAGGCCUGGUGUGGCAGGAAUGAGGGCUGGGGAGGCAGCAAAGUAGGUGAGGUUGGGGAGGUCAACUGACGUGAGGAAGGCAGCCAGGGACUCAACUGAUCAGUCAAUCCAUUGAUACAUCAUUUAGGGUCUUGUAAGAUUGGGGGGAGGAAGGUGACAGGAGGGAAGCCUUUACGUAAGGUUUUUGAGGAAGAGUGUCAUGACCACAUUUUUUUUCCUAACAGGCUUCUUCUGACUGGUGGAGAAUGAACUUGAAGGGGCAAGAGGGGAAGCAGGGAGCCUGGUGAGGAGCUGUGGAGGUAGCCCAGGCGAGAGAGGUCAGUGGCUACAUUUGGAUGGUAGAUGUGGAGAUAGCAAGAAAUUGUAUCAAACACCAGUGACUCAUGCAAAUAAUUUAAAUUGGCGUGAGUGCUAAAAAAAAAAAGUUAAAAUGCUCAAAAUGAACAGAUUAGGAAAAAAAUAUUUGGUGUAGUCUGGCAAAGAGUGAACAACCUGCUACAUAAAGAACUCGCUCAAAAAAAAAAAAAAAAAGAACUCGCUCAUGGCAUCUGACGGGAAAACACGACGUCCACGACCGUUGAAGUGUCCACUCUGCUCGCCUUUGUGAACCGAACGGUGUCCAUUCACGAACUUCAAAACAGAUUCCGGACAGCCCUACUGUCCCAGACUCAGCUCCCUCCCGCAGGAUCCCACCACCUGGUCCACGGAUCCUGGCUCCGCCAGCAAAGUGCUGGACCCUUCAGCAUCCCUGGCCCCACCAACCUCUAAGGAGCGCGGGCCCGUCCAAACCCAGCAGCCGUGUCC
This 1174-nucleotide long non-coding RNA is filed under the name Felis catus (domestic cat). RNAcentral's name for it is "lncRNA (ENSFCAG00000048363.1)". Lineage: Eukaryota; Metazoa; Chordata; Mammalia; Carnivora; Felidae. The record is from RNAcentral.